ACAUGAAUAAUGUCUUUAAGUAAAUAUUUUUCCUUUGAAGGCAAAGCUUCAUAAAGAUAAAAGAGAGUUUCAUUCAUGCACGCCAUGUAAGUAACCAUAUGAUUACAACCCAAAAUAAAUACUACUAUUGUCUAUGUAAUCUCUAUGAUACGGAAUCGAAUAGUCAACCAAAGCAAAACCUGGUGGCUCAAAAGGAUAGUAAUAUAAUAAAGUCCUCCACGAAUACUAGCGUGGAGUCUCACCAAAUAACGUCAACGGGAAAAUGUAGAUCUACCUUAUCCACAUGGUCCAAGCUUCUCAAGUCCAGUUCCUGAAAAUAGAAAUAAAAAUGUGGACGAAAAGCCUAAGCUCCACAUGCCUAGUACGAAUCAUGAAUUGUUCCCCAAAAGAAAAUAGGACAAAAUUUAAGAAGAUACAAGAUAUGCAAUAAUAAUUGAUAUCAAGAAAGAAGCCUUCAUAUCAAUUAAUAAUUUUGAAAAUAAAAUAAAAUAAUAUGGUAAAACAUAUUUCAAAGUUUCCUUUAGCAAUAAUCUUUGCAAAUCAUGUUAGAUUUUUCAUUUACCGGGAGCACCUUGACAUGACCGACACGAAAGGAGGUCAACUAGGUUAUGUACCUAGCGGCAAGUAUCAUAUACCCUACUUGCUCGGGUCGUCUCAUAGUUGUGUUGUACGAAUCGACUCAUCUGUGCUAAUAAAGUAGCAUAAUAGUACCCCCUAAUGGGAAGUACUCUGUCGUAGUUUCCAACUGUAAGGUGGGUUCUACGCCUACACUGGCACGUGUAGUUUUAUGACCUAAUAAGGAAAAGUAUCCAAGGCCAAUCUCGGUGAACUUAAGUAACUCUCAAAACCUUUACAUUUAUCAAUGACGAUAUUCGUAGCCAAAUCAACUAUUUGAGAAUAGUUAAAUCCAAGAUAUUUCACAACUCAUAUAUUUCCAUUUCAAAAUACUACAAGUGUUAUUCCUCAUUUAUUUAUUUAAAAUUUGAGUAACAUUUCAAGAAAAUAAUAUUCAUAGCACUUAAAGAUUUUAUGAUGCAAGAAAUGGCACAAUCCCGACUCGCCCCGACUCGCUCGUGCCCACAAGCUAGGACUCACAUGUAGAAAAUCAAUUUAAUCAUUGUUUGGAGAAAAGCUCCGAGGGUAAUAAGUUUUAACGUACCUCAAAUAGCUUCCAAUCUUACCCCAAAUGAUCCAAUAAUGCCGAUGAGUCGCAAUCUACAUAUACAAACUCACAUAAUUUAAUAACACGUCACAACAAUACCAACUAAGCCAACUAAGUGUCUAAUACUUAAGUCCAACUUAAUAAGUUUAUCAAAAAUCACCAUUUCAUCAUUUGAAGGUCAAUCCUUGAAUUAUAAUAUCAACUCAUUCAUUAAACUUGUUAUUGGAUCUAGUCGUUCCACUAGAAACUCAAAAUAACAUCGUUCAAGCAAGACCCAACAAUAUUCAUUAUUCCUACCAACCAACUCUUAUAUGGUUUCAUGAAUAGAUAUUUAAAUACAAAUUCAUCUUCAUAAACAUACUUUACUACGUCCAUGGAGUAUAAUAUAUAAGUUUGGAGUAAAGAUAUUACCUCUUUGUCAAACCCUAGAAAAUUCAAGAUUUGAGUUGUUGAAGUGUUCUUGAGAUUUUCUUCAAGAAUCUAUAAUUUCCAAGUAGUUGAAGAGUUAAGAGAUGUAUUUAAUGAACUAAAUCUAUGAAUAAAGAAUUAAAUUCUUACCUUAAAGGUGUAUUAAUGAUAGAGAGUUCUUUUCUCUUUCUAUGUCUUCAAAGAUAAAGCCCCAAAAU
This 1788-nucleotide long non-coding RNA is filed under the name Nicotiana tabacum (common tobacco). RNAcentral's name for it is "long non-coding RNA (NTAB_LNC009621)". Lineage: Eukaryota; Viridiplantae; Streptophyta; Magnoliopsida; Solanales; Solanaceae. The record is from RNAcentral.